GGCAUCAAAGAGAACUUCUCUUGCUGGUUAUACAGCAAAAAAUUGGAGAAAAAAAUUCCUCCCAACGAGAGAAAGAGAAGGAAGAAGAAGGGUCUUUUUUCUUAUGCGCAGCCUUGGAGAAGGAGUUCUUCUCCCAGAUUUUUUUUCUAUUUUUUUCUAGAAUAAAAAUUAGAUUAGAUCUAAUUUUUAAUGUAAAAAUUUAGAGAAGA
Molecule: long non-coding RNA, 209 nt
Filed under: Elaeis guineensis (African oil palm)
Lineage: Eukaryota; Viridiplantae; Streptophyta; Magnoliopsida; Arecales; Arecaceae
Description: long non-coding RNA (EGUI_LNC081501)
Source: RNAcentral